Molecule: ribosomal RNA, 497 nt
Filed under: uncultured bacterium
Lineage: Bacteria
Description: partial 16S ribosomal RNA
Rfam family: Bacterial small subunit ribosomal RNA
Source: RNAcentral
GAUGAACGCUGGCGGCGUGCCUAAUACAUGCAAGUCGAGCGAACGGACGAUAAGCUUGCUUCUCUGAUGUUAGCGGCGGACGGGUGAGUAACACGUGUAUAACCUACCUAUAAUACUGGGAUAACUUCGGGAAACCGGAGCUAAUACCGGAUGAUAUUUUGAACCGCAUGGUUCAAAAGUGAAAUACGGUCUUGCUGUCACUUAUAGAUGGAUCCGCGCUGCAUUGGCUAGUUGGUAAGGUAACGGGUUACCAAGGCAACGAUGCCUAGCCGACGUGAGAGGGUGAUAGGCCACACUGGAAGUGAGCCACGGUCCAGACUACUACGGGAGGCAGCAGUAGGGAAUCUUAGGCAAUGGGCGAAAGCAUUACGGAGCAACGCCGCGUGAGUGAUGAAGGUCUUCGGAUCGUAAAACUCUGUUAUUAGGGAAGAACAUAUGUGUAAGUAACUGUGCACAUCUUGACGGUACCUAAUAAGAAAGCAACGGCUAACUACGUG